GAUGAACGCUGACCGAAUGCUUAACACAUGCAAGUCUUUGGCGAAGCUGUGCUUGCACAGCCUAGCCAAGGCGGACGGGUGAGUAACGCGUAAGGAACUUGCCCUGCAGUCAGGGAUAACAGACGGAAACGACUGAUAAGACCUGGUAAAGUCAGGCGGACUCAUGUCCAGCCUGAUGAAAAGAGAUGCUGCAGGAGAGCCUUGCGUCCUAUUAGCUUGUUGGUGGGGUAACGGCCCACCAAGGCGAUGAUAGGUAGCCGGCCUGAGAGGGUGGACGGCCACAAGGGGACUGAGAUACGGCCCGUACUCCUACGGGAGGCAGCAGUGGGGAAUAUUGGACAAUGGGGGCAACCCUGAUCCAGCAAUGCUGUGUGCACGAUGAAGGUUUUCGGAUUGUAAAGUGCUUUCAGCAGGGAAGAAAAAAUGACGGUACCUGCAGAAGAAGCGACGGCUAAAUACGUG
Molecule: ribosomal RNA, 462 nt
Filed under: uncultured bacterium
Lineage: Bacteria
Description: partial 16S ribosomal RNA
Rfam family: Bacterial small subunit ribosomal RNA
Source: RNAcentral